AUGAUUUGGUACAAAGACGCAUCACUUGGUUUAUCGGAUGCAACGCUUCCAUCACCGAUUCAAGUAUGCCGUUCCAUGAACUUCUCAAUCGCCACAGAGAAGGCACCAAAACCCACGCACCCGAUACAUGUAGCUUGAGGGCCACCUGCAACAACUAAAGCCCCUCCUGUGACACAGCCAGCUACUGCCGAAUUGGUAAUGUCAUGCUUUGCCCCUACCUUCUCUACGACACAUUCAGCUGCAGAAAAAAUCAAGCCCAUUACUGCAAAGGUCUUAGCAUGGCUCAUACUUUUCCUACCCAUCUGUUUUGCCUGGUAGACUAUUUGUUGCCUUGCUGUCAUCUCCUCUGACAUUAUUGGAUUUUCCAAAGCUCCAAAAAAUAGUCCCAUAAGUACACCAAGACCACCUCCUAUGACACCACUGAGGACGCUCCGGACGGCGCAGUUGUUCAUCAUCUCCUGCCCCUUGAUCUCCUCCGGCGUUGGCAGCUGGAGCGGCUGCACCGCAGCACUCUGGCUGGCCGCAUCGCCGCCCGCCGAUGGCUCCGGGGAAGCCAUCUCACAGUCUGAUCUCCCUUUUGCCGGUAGUGCGACGGUGGAGCUAGCUGCGGGCCGUGGGAAUCACUGGAAAGGCAAUGAAUUGGAUUGGAGAAGAAGCCGAGCCGAGAAGUUCCUCGAGGCUCCUCCUCGGCUUUCCUUUCUUUUCCUCCCCACCAAGAAAAAAAGAGGCGGCGGUAAGGGAGGUAGGGGAAGGGGAUCCCGGUGGUGCCUGCCUCUUCCCGCUACCGGAGGACGCAAACGUAUUCUCAGGAGUACGCCACCGUGUUCCCCUUAUCAGCGAGACCUGCAAAACAUGAAUCUGUGGUUAGUAAACUAA
This 876-nucleotide ribosomal RNA is filed under the name Triticum aestivum (bread wheat). Its description in RNAcentral is "partial small subunit ribosomal RNA". The record is from RNAcentral. Lineage: Eukaryota; Viridiplantae; Streptophyta; Magnoliopsida; Poales; Poaceae.